UACGUAGGGGGCAAGCGUUGUCCGGAUUUAUUGGGCGUAAAGAGCGUGUAGGCGGCUUUGCAAGUCCGUUGUGAAAACUCGAGGCUCAACCUCGAGACGCCGGUGGAAACUGCAAAGCUAGAGUCCGGAAGAGGAGAGUGGAAUUCCUGGUGUAGCGGUGAAAUGCGCAGAUAUCAGGAGGAACACCGAUGGCGAAGGCAGGUCUCUGGGCAUUAACUGACGCUGAGGAGCGAAAGCAUGGGGAGCGAACAGG
RNAcentral lists this ribosomal RNA (253 nucleotides) under uncultured bacterium. RNAcentral describes it as "partial 16S ribosomal RNA". It matches the Rfam family "Bacterial small subunit ribosomal RNA", at positions 524 to 776 of the family's 1533-position model. The record is from RNAcentral.